RNAcentral lists this long non-coding RNA (399 nucleotides) under Coturnix japonica (Japanese quail). RNAcentral's name for it is "lncRNA (ENSCJPG00005003813.1)". The record is from RNAcentral. Lineage: Eukaryota; Metazoa; Chordata; Aves; Galliformes; Phasianidae.
AUGGUUAAAAGCUCUUAUCCUAUCAGCUCAAGUGAAUCAAGGUGGGAGGAGGUGAAGCAAUUGGAGCGGGCAGUUUUUAAGGCUGCACUGAGUAUAAGGGGAGUUAAGUGGAGACAAGCCCCAGACAGAACCAGUGGACCUGGUGUCACAUCUAACAGCUGUGUGAAGCAGUGCCCUAUCCCCUGGCAUAGCCAGAAGGAGAUGUGGAAGGAGGAAAUUCAAAGAGGAGGGAUGGAGGAGAAAAAUGAGAUGUUUCCAAAAGCUGUUGUGUACCAAAACGUGCACUGUAGAACUAGUGCUCAUUUUGUUUGGUGGGAGACACUGCAGCCAGCAAUAGACAAACAAAAACAGAAGGGAAGAGCACCAAAGCCACCAAGAAUAAAGCCAGGACGACUGUGA